UACAGAGGGUGCAAGCGUUGUUCGGAAUUAUUGGGCGUAAAGAGCUCGUAGGCGGUGUGUCGCGUCGGCCGUGAAAACCUGCAGCUUAACUGUGGGCGUGCGGUCGAUACGGGCAUCACUGGAGUUCGGCAGGGGAGACUGGAAUUCCUGGUGUAGCGGUGAAAUGCGCAGAUAUCAGGAGGAACACCAGUGGCGAAGGCGGCCAACUGGUCCGGUACUGACGCUGGAGGUGCGAAAGCGUGGGGAGCAAACAGG
This 255-nucleotide ribosomal RNA is filed under the name uncultured bacterium. RNAcentral describes it as "partial 16S ribosomal RNA". It matches the Rfam family "Bacterial small subunit ribosomal RNA", at positions 524 to 776 of the family's 1533-position model. The record is from RNAcentral.